Molecule: ribosomal RNA, 497 nt
Filed under: uncultured bacterium
Lineage: Bacteria
Description: partial 16S ribosomal RNA
Rfam family: Bacterial small subunit ribosomal RNA
Source: RNAcentral
GAUGAACGCUGGCGGCGUGCCUAAUACAUGCAAGUCGAGCGAACAGACGAGGAGCUUGCUCCUUCGACGUUAGCGGCGGACGGGUGAGUAACACGUAGGUAACCUACCUAUAAGACUGGGAUAACUUCGGGAAACCGGAGCUAAUACCGGAUAAUAUUUCCAACCGCAUGGUUCGAUAGUGAAAGAUGGCUUUGCUAUCACUUAUAGAUGUACCUGCGCGGUAUUAGCUAGUUGGGAAGGUAACGGCUUACCAAGGCAACGAUACGUAGCCGACCUGAGAGGGUGAUCGGCGACACGGGAACGGAGACACGGUCAAGACUCCUACGGGAGGCAGCAGUAGGGAAUCUGCGGCAAUGGGGGAAAGCCUGACGGAGAAAGGCCGCGUGAGGGAUGAAGGUCUUCGGUUCGUAAAACUCGGUUAUUGGGGAAGAACAGACGUGGAAGUAACUGUGCACGUCUUGACGGUACCUAAUCAGAAAGCAACGGCUAACUACGUG